RNAcentral lists this ribosomal RNA (469 nucleotides) under uncultured bacterium. RNAcentral's name for it is "SSU rRNA". It matches the Rfam family "Bacterial small subunit ribosomal RNA", at positions 26 to 518 of the family's 1533-position model. The record is from RNAcentral.
AGGAUGAACGCUGGCGGCGUGCCUAACACAUGCAAGUCGAACGUCCUGUCUCGCAAGAGGCAGGGAGUGGCGGACGGGUGAGUACCACGUGGGUCAUCUACCGUGAGGUGAGGAAUACCGGCGAGAAAUCGCCGACAAGACCGCAUAGGCUCGAUGCAAGUCGAGCAAAGCUCUUUCGAGAGAGGGAGCGCCACACGAGGAGCCUGCGCCCGAUUAGCUAGCUGGUGGAGUAACGGUUCACCAGGGCGACGAUCGGUAGCUGGUCUGAGAGGACGAUCAGCCACACUGGGAUUGAGAACGGCCCAGACUCCUACGGGGGCAGCAGUGAGGAAUUUCGUCAAUGGGGGCAACCCUGAACGAGCAACGCCGCGUGCAGGAAGAGGUUUCGAUCGUAAACUGCUUUUCUCGGGGAAGAGAACGGACGGUACCCGAGGAAUCGAGCCCCGGCUAACUACGUGCCAGCAGCCGC